UCCGAAUUGGUGUAGUGGCUAACAUUUGACGCUCUCAAUUAUCGCACACUGAUGUGUAAGAUCGCAAAGUGCCGUCAAGCCCGGGGUUCGAUUCCCCGAUUCGGAG
Molecule: non-coding RNA, 106 nt
Organism: Nemania serpens
Lineage: Eukaryota; Fungi; Ascomycota; Sordariomycetes; Xylariales; Xylariaceae
Source: the annotation of a GenBank genome assembly